GUGCUCACUUCAGCAGCAUAUAUACUAAAAUUGGAAUAUACAGAUAAGAUUAGCAUGACCCCUUCAUAAGGAUGACACUCAAAUUCGUGAAGUGUUCCAUAUUUUU
This 106-nucleotide small nuclear RNA is filed under the name Neotoma lepida (desert woodrat). The record is from RNAcentral. Lineage: Eukaryota; Metazoa; Chordata; Mammalia; Rodentia; Cricetidae.